GGGACAAAAUUAUAAAGUUAUACUACCAAUCAUUAUUUUCCUAAUAGGUAUAUCACACGUAAAAGUGUACGGGGGGAAGUAUCAACAAGGAAUAAAGCUGUCUUGACCUCCUUCUCAGCAUAAGGGACUAGCAAUACCUUUUUUUAUUAUAUCUCAAAAAGUGUAGGGCCUUGCCUAAUGAAGCUUGCAAAUCUGUGGCUUGCCUUCUGCCCAAGUAGGUCCUCACUGAAACUAACAAAAAAUUUGUCUGCCAGGCACCCUGCCCAUCCUUGAGCUAAGUAAUUGACUGCUUUUAUUUCCUGUGCUUCAUAACAACAUAAAAUAGCUGGCAUUACCAUCACCUAGUUUUAUCCAUCUUGCUUUUGCUCUUUGCUAAAGAAAACUUUCUGCAGGAAAGGAGCUCUUACUGAAUUUUAGAUAUUUCUCCCUUUCAGCUUUGUGUAGCACUUUAUGUUGAGGUUUAACUGGCAUAAAAUUUUUGUUCAAAAUCAAAAGUUUAAGAAAUAACAAGAUACUCAAUUUAAACCAUUUUAAUGAC
This 538-nucleotide long non-coding RNA is filed under the name Capsicum annuum. Its description in RNAcentral is "long non-coding RNA (CANN_LNC017025)". The record is from RNAcentral. Lineage: Eukaryota; Viridiplantae; Streptophyta; Magnoliopsida; Solanales; Solanaceae.